UCUGAGAUCUACAAAUGUGCUUGUUUUUCUCUAAAGGCAGUCAUAGGAGAGAACUGAAAAAGAAAAAAAAAAAAAAAAAAAAAAAAAAAAAAAAAAGAAGACAAGUAAAAAGACUACUGAGACUACUGAAAGCCUGUACUGAAAAUCAAGGAACAAUGACUUCCUUCAACAGUAUCAACAAUGACAAUCAGAUACCUCCUGACAAUUUUGACAACAGCACAGCUGGAUAUCUGACAUGGAGUGGGAUUUAGAAAAAGAAUGAGUUUAGGCAUUGUGAAGGAUUUGACUGACAAUAUGUCUUGGACCAAUGGCAAAUAAAGUAUCUCUACAUUUGAAGGAGG
This 341-nucleotide long non-coding RNA is filed under the name Phasianus colchicus (ring-necked pheasant). Its description in RNAcentral is "lncRNA (ENSPCLG00000006309.1)". The record is from RNAcentral. Lineage: Eukaryota; Metazoa; Chordata; Aves; Galliformes; Phasianidae.